GCCGGGGUGGCAGAGUGGUUAAUGCGCGGGCCUCGAGAGCCCGUGACCUUUGGGUCUCGUGGGUUCGAAUCCUACCCCCGGCG
Molecule: transfer RNA, 83 nt
Filed under: archaeon
Lineage: Archaea
Also listed under: 2 other names
Description: tRNA-Ser
Rfam family: tRNA
About the family: Transfer RNA (tRNA) molecules are approximately 80 nucleotides in length. Their secondary structure includes four short double-helical elements and three loops (D, anti-codon, and T loops).
Source: RNAcentral